RNAcentral lists this microRNA precursor (103 nucleotides) under Marmota monax (woodchuck). Lineage: Eukaryota; Metazoa; Chordata; Mammalia; Rodentia; Sciuridae. The record is from RNAcentral.
AGAGGGAUAGUUGGGUCAAAUGGUGGUUCCAUUCCCAGAUUUCCAAGGAAUCUCCAUACUGCUUUCCAUAUUGGCUGUACCAAUUUGCAGUCCCACCAACAAU